Molecule: long non-coding RNA, 1325 nt
Organism: Alexandromys fortis (reed vole)
Lineage: Eukaryota; Metazoa; Chordata; Mammalia; Rodentia; Cricetidae
Exons: 3
Source: RefSeq, a predicted model, not a curated record
UCCAGGCUGGUCUCUGGGAGAGCGGGUAGCUCCCUGAACUGCACAGGAUUGACUUAGGAGGACAAGUCAGGAGCUUCCCUUCUCUGCCGAAGGGAAGAGACGCGAAAAGGGGCCCAGGACACCGAAGAGUGCUGAAGACAGGACAGGCCAAGCCCUGGAGUCUUAACCUAGACUUGCCUGAGACAGGCCACUCCCCCGGGACACACCAUCAGUUCUGGUCUAGUUUCUAGAUUUUUCUGAGUUCUCCCCAGAGCUCCCACCAUCUUUCCUCUCUUUUAAUGUCCUUCACCUUUUCUGUUUCCAUCUUUGCCUUUCUCUCCAGCCCUCUGUCCUGGCUCUCUGAGCUUCUGUGGACUUGGGAGGCCACGGGCAGGUGCCCUUGGGGCUCCCUGGGGAUCACUGAUCACUGACCUGCUUCCUUCUGUCCCAGGUGAGGCCAUCAGGGGGUGGGAGUUGCCACAAUUGUCCUGGUCACAAACGGCCUGGAUCAGUGAUCUUCUGUGUCUAAAACAGUCCCAGGGCAGAAGUGAUGGGGAGAGGGCUGAUCUCCCUCAGCACGGGGUGCUCCCUCACAUCCUGUGUCCACACUAGUAGGAACUUGGAUCACUCCUCUCAGGAUGGCAAACCUGUUCCUUCUCUUGCUGUGAGCCCAAGCUCCCAACUUCCAUCCCCUUGGGGACCACCUACCACUAAGUCCUUACUUUUGGAGGCCCCAAGACAACUUGGAACUUUAAGCUUACAUACAUGUGCCUUGUACCUGUGGGGGCCAGAAGAGGCCAUCAGCUCUGCUGGCACUAGAGUUACAGAUGGUCGUGAGCUGCCUGCCAUGUGGAUGCUGGCAAUUGAACCCCAGUCCUCUGCAAAGAGUAGCAGGCCUCACAUCUAAUCAAGAGAGCAUCUGGUUGCCCCCGUCAGCUGUCCGGCCACGAUUGCACCAGUGGGCAUAUCUUGCCUGGUAGGAUGAUACUGAACUACGCAGGAGCCAGAACUGAAUAAGGCCUCUGGUGUCUUUUCUUCUCCAGCAACCUACAUAGCCCGGCCCGCACUGUGAAAGCUAGCCACUCCGAGAGACGCCUGGUCAAUCCAAGAUCAGUGUCUUUAUGUCCUGCAACCAAACUGUGACGUUUUCAGCAACAGGGUCAUACCAUCUAGUUCUCACUGGCAACCAAGAACAACCACAAUAUCCUGUAUUGUUGAGCUGCCUCCUCUGGGGACACCCUGAGCAAUAAAACAAAGGAAGGUAACCCAUGCUGACUCUGGGAUUUUCAUUUACUAACCCACGUCUCCUGGGAGCUGCUUUCUCACCCACACUCGGUAUUUCCUUU